CGGCGACGGGUGAGUAACACGUAUGCAAUCCACCUGUAACAGGGGGAGUAACCCGGAGAAAUCCGGACUAAUACCCCAUAAUAUGGGCGCUCCGCAUGGAGAGCCCAUUAAAGAGAGCAAUUUUGGUUACAGACGAGCAUGCGCUCCAUUAGCCAGUUGGCGGGGUAACGGCCCACCAAAGCGACGAUGGAUAGGGGUUCUGAGAGGAAGGUCCCCCACAUUGGAACUGAGACACGGUCCAA
RNAcentral lists this ribosomal RNA (242 nucleotides) under uncultured bacterium. Its description in RNAcentral is "partial 16S ribosomal RNA". It matches the Rfam family "Bacterial small subunit ribosomal RNA", at positions 102 to 334 of the family's 1533-position model. The record is from RNAcentral.